AUCCCAUGGUGUGAGCACUUUCGCAGCAUAUUCUUGAACCGAUUCCAGGCUUCAUUGAAAUUCUCUGAUUCGCCUUGGCAAAAAAUAGAGAUGUCGUGCUUGAGCUU
Molecule: small nucleolar RNA, 107 nt
Filed under: Olea europaea subsp. europaea
Lineage: Eukaryota; Viridiplantae; Streptophyta; Magnoliopsida; Lamiales; Oleaceae
Description: Plant small nucleolar RNA R71
Rfam family: Plant small nucleolar RNA R71
About the family: R71 is a member of the C/D box family of snoRNAs containing the C (UGAUGA) and D (CUGA) box motifs. Multiple nearly identical copies of this snoRNA have been identified in Arabidopsis, and it is thought to function as a 2'-O-ribose methylation guide for 18S ribosomal RNA.
Source: Rfam by way of RNAcentral